GAUGAACGCUGGCGGCGUGCCUAAUACAUGCAAGUCGAGCGAACAGACGAGGAGCUUGCUCCUCUGACGUUAGCGGCGGACGGGUGAGUAACACGUGGAUAACCUACCUAUAAGACUGGGAUAACUUCGGGAAACCGGAGCUAAUACCGGAUAAUAUAUUGAACCGCAUGGUUCAAUAGUGAAAGACGGUUUUGCUGUCACUUAUAGAUGGAUCCGCGCCGCAUUAGCUAGUUGGUAAGGUAACGGCUUACCAAGGCAACGAUGCGUAGCCGACCUGAGAGGGGGAUCGGCCACACUGGAGCUGAGACACGGUCCAGACUCCGACGGGAGGCAGCAGUAGGGAAUCUUCCGCAAUGGGCGAAAGCUUGACGGAGCAACGCAGCGUGAGUGAUGAAGGUCUUCGGAUCGUAAAACGCUGUUAUUAGGGAAGAACAAAUGUGUAAGUAACUAUGCACGUCUUGACGGUACCUAAGCAGAAAGCCACGGCUAACUACGU
RNAcentral lists this ribosomal RNA (496 nucleotides) under uncultured bacterium. RNAcentral describes it as "partial 16S ribosomal RNA". It matches the Rfam family "Bacterial small subunit ribosomal RNA", at positions 28 to 506 of the family's 1533-position model. The record is from RNAcentral.